GUUGAACGCUGGCGGCGUGCCUAAUACAUGCAAGUCGAACGAACGGACGCGACGCUUGCUUCUCUGAUGUUAGCGGCGGACGGGAGAGUAACACGUGGAUAACCUACCUAUAAGACUGGUAUAACUUCGGGAAACCGGAUCUAAUACCGGAUAAUCUUUUGAACCGCAUGGUUCAAAAGUGAAAGACGGUCUUGCUGUCACUUAUAGAUGGAUCCGCGCUGCAUUAGCUAGUUGGUAAGGUAACGGCUUACCAAGGCAACGAUGCAUAGCCGACCUGAGAGGGUGAUCGGCCACAUGGGAGGUGAGACACGGUCCAUACUCCUACGGGAGGCAGCAGUCGGCAAUCGUCCGCAAUGGGCGAAAGUCUGACGGAGCAAGGCCGCGUGAGUGAUGAAGGCGCUCGGAGCGUAAAACUCUGUUAUUAGGGAAGAACAUAUGUGGAAGUAACUGUGCACAGCUUGACGGUACCUAAUCAGAAAGCAACGGCUAACUACGUG
Molecule: ribosomal RNA, 497 nt
Filed under: uncultured bacterium
Lineage: Bacteria
Description: partial 16S ribosomal RNA
Rfam family: Bacterial small subunit ribosomal RNA
Source: RNAcentral